Molecule: ribosomal RNA, 1058 nt
Filed under: Listeria monocytogenes
Lineage: Bacteria; Bacillati; Bacillota; Bacilli; Caryophanales; Listeriaceae
Description: partial 23S ribosomal RNA
Rfam family: Bacterial large subunit ribosomal RNA
Source: RNAcentral
CUGAGUACGGCGGAACACGUGAAAUUCCGUCGGAAUCCGGGAGGACCAUCUCCCAAGGCUAAAUACUCCCUAGUGACCGAUAGUGAACCAGUACCGUGAGGGAAAGGUGAAAAGCACCCCGGAAGGGGAGUGAAACAGUUCCUGAAACCGUGUGCCUACAAGUAGUUAGAGCCCGUUAAUGGGUGAUAGCGUGCCUUUUGUAGAAUGAACCGGCGAGUUACGAUUUGUUGCAAGGUUAAGCGGAAAAAGCGGAGCCGUAGCGAAAGCGAGUCUGAAUAGGGCGCAUAAGUAACAGGUCGUAGACCCGAAACCAGGUGAUCUACCCAUGUCCAGGAUGAAGGUAAGGUAAUACUUACUGGAGGUCCGAACCCACGCACGUUGAAAAGUGCGGGGAUGAGGUGUGGGUAGCGGAGAAAUUCCAAUCGAACUUGGAGAUAGCUGGUUCUCUCCGAAAUAGCUUUAGGGCUAGCCUCGAGGUAAAGAGUCAUGGAGGUAGAGCACUGUUUGGACUAGGGGCCCUUCUCGGGUUACCGAAUUCAGAUAAACUCCGAAUGCCAUGUACUUAUACUCGGGAGUCAGACUGCGAGUGAUAAGAUCCGUAGUCGAAAGGGAAACAGCCCAGACCACCAGUUAAGGUCCCCAAAUAUAUGUUAAGUGGAAAAGGAUGUGGGGUUGCUUAGACAACCAGGAUGUUGGCUUAGAAGCAGCCACCAUUGAAAGAGUGCGUAAUAGCUCACUGGUCGAGUGACCCCGCGCCGAAAAUGUACCGGGGCUAAACAUAUUACCGAAACUGUGGAUGAACCUCUUUAGAGGUUCGUGGUAGGAGAGCGUUCUAAGGGCGGUGAAGUCAGACCGGAAGGACUGGUGGAGCGCUUAGAAGUGAGAAUGCCGGUAUGAGUAGCGAAAGAAGGGUGAGAAUCCCUUCCACCGAAUAUCUAAGGUUUCCUGAGGAAGGCUCGUCCGCUCAGGGUUAGUCGGGACCUAAGCCGAGGCCGAUAGGCGUAGGCGAUGGACAACAGGUAGAGAUUCCUGUACCAGUGCUAAUUGUUUAACCGAUG